Molecule: RNA transcript, 1784 nt
Organism: Panicum virgatum (switchgrass)
Lineage: Eukaryota; Viridiplantae; Streptophyta; Magnoliopsida; Poales; Poaceae
Gene name: peroxidase 1-like
Exons: 4
Source: RefSeq, a predicted model, not a curated record
CAUUUUGUUCUUGCAGAAAGCUACGCAGAGAAAGGAACUAGCACAUGGGUGCAUACCCAGCAACAGGUUGUCCAAGCAACUAACUUACGCAUACCACUUCGCCACCAGCAAGCCUAGCAAGAGAGCUUCUAUAAAUACGGGGAGUUGCAAGGGGAAGUCCAUCCGCACAUUCAUUCUAUUCUAGAUUGCAUCACAAAAGAACAUUCUUGUAAUAGUCACGCAAUUGCAGCUUCUGGGCCUGCAGUUGUUUAACACUACCGAUCCAUCAUCAGCAUGACAAUCAAGUCUUGUCUGGUACUGCUGCUCCCUUUGGCACUGCUGCUUCUCGCCAGCAGCUCGCCGGCAGCGGCCCAGCUGGAGGUCGGCUACUACAGCAAGACGUGCCCGAACGUCGAGGCCAUCGUCCGAGAGGAGAUGGAGAAAAUAAUCUCCGCCGCGCCCAGCCUCGCCGGCCCGCUCCUCAGGCUCCAUUUCCACGACUGCUUCGUCAGGGGUUGUGAUGCCUCCGUCCUGCUCAACUCCAGCGAGGGCAACCUGGCCGAGCGGGACGCCAAGCCGAACAAGAGCCUGCGGGGCUUCGGUUCUGUGGACAGGGUGAAGGCCAAGCUCGAAGCCGCCUGCCCCAACACCAUCUCCUGCGCCGACGUCGUCACCCUCAUGGCGCGCGACGCCGUCGUGCUUGCCAAGGGCCCCUUCUGGCCCGUCGCGCUGGGGAGGAGAGACGGCAGCGUGUCCAGUGCCACGGAGGCGGCCGACCAGCUGCCGCCCGCCAACGGUGACGUCCCGCUGCUCGCCAAGAUCUUCGCCUCCAAGGGCCUCGACCUCAAGGACCUCGUCGUCCUCUCCGGCGCGCACACCCUCGGCACGGCGCACUGCCCGUCGUACGCCGAUCGGCUCUACAACUUCAGCAGCGCCUACAGCGCCGACCCAACCCUGGACAGCGAGUACGCCGACAAGCUGAGGACGCGCUGCAAGAGCGUCGACAACAAGGCCAUGCUGUCCGAGAUGGACCCUGGCAGCUACAAGACCUUCGACACCAGCUACUACCGCCACGUCGCCAAGCGCCGGGGGCUCUUCCAGUCCGACGCCGCGCUGCUCACCGACGCCACCACCAGGGAGUAUGUCCAGCACAUCGCCACCGGCAAGUUCGACGAUGUGUUCUUCAAGGACUUCAGUGAGUCCAUGGUCAAGAUGGGCAACGUCGGCGUGCUCACCGGUGCCCAGGGCGAGAUCAGGAAGAAGUGCUACAUCAUCAACUAGUAGACUAGCUGCUAGCGGAAGCUUUUGCACCAGCACGAAAUUGCCAAGUCUACGCACGUACAGCUUAAGCAAUAUACGAAGCUGGGUCCGAAAAGGCAUCUCGGUUUCCCCCUUAAUGAAAACAUGCUCAGGCACGGUCGCAAAAAAAAAAGACAUCUCAAUGCUAGCUCCAGGUUGAGAAUAGGAGCUGUUUGAUAGCUUUCUUGCCAGUUAAUAGUUGAAAAUGUACUCCCUUCGCCUUUGAAAAGUGCAAUUCUAGGUUUGAAAAAAAGAUUUCACAAAGAGUGCAAAUCUUAAAAAUUAGAUCUCAACUACCUGCCGAAUUAAAUGGGGACGGAGGGAUCGGAGUAUGUAUCAACGACAACAAUGAAGUUGAAAUUGAAGCGCCAUUGCUUGGUCAUGAAGCUGAGUAGUCCAUGUACUAUACAGUAGGACUAAGCUUUAGAGUAAUUAAUAACCUAUUCAAUAUGUGGCACAGUCAACCCGGCCUAUUCAAGCAAAGCAUUCGCCCCGUUCAAUAUAUA